GCCCAAGAGAUCGGGAUAACACCUGGAAACAGAUGCUAAUACCGGAUAACAACAGAUGAUGCCUAUCAACUGUUUAAAAGAUGGUUCUGCUAUCACUCUUGGAUGGACCUGCGGUGCAUUAGCUAGUUGGUAGGGUAACGGCCUACCAAGGCGAUGAUGCAUAGCCGAGUUGAGAGACUGAUCGGCCACAUUGGGACUGAGACACGGCCCAAACUCCUACGGGAGGCAGCAGGA
This 234-nucleotide ribosomal RNA is filed under the name uncultured Lactobacillus sp. RNAcentral describes it as "partial 16S ribosomal RNA". It matches the Rfam family "Bacterial small subunit ribosomal RNA", at positions 128 to 354 of the family's 1533-position model. Lineage: Bacteria; Bacillati; Bacillota; Bacilli; Lactobacillales; Lactobacillaceae. The record is from RNAcentral.